RNAcentral lists this ribosomal RNA (301 nucleotides) under uncultured bacterium. RNAcentral's name for it is "partial 16S ribosomal RNA". It matches the Rfam family "Bacterial small subunit ribosomal RNA", at positions 509 to 809 of the family's 1533-position model. The record is from RNAcentral.
CAGCCGCCACGGUAAAACGAAGGGUGCAAGCGUUACUCGGAAUUACUGGGCGUAAAGCGUGCGUAGGUGGUGGUUUAAGUCCGUUGUGAAAGCCCUGGGCUCAACCUGGGAAUUGCAGUGGAUACUGGGUCACUAGAGUGUGGUAGAGGAUAGUGGAAUUUCCGGUGUAGCAGUGAAAUGCGUAGAGAUCGGAAGGAACAUCUGUGGCGAAGGCGACUAUCUGGGCCAACACUGACACUGAGGCACGAAAGCGUGGGGAGCAAACAGGAUUAGAUACCCCCGUAGUCCCUGUCUCUUAUCC